RNAcentral lists this ribosomal RNA (461 nucleotides) under uncultured bacterium. RNAcentral's name for it is "partial 16S ribosomal RNA". It matches the Rfam family "Bacterial small subunit ribosomal RNA", at positions 28 to 506 of the family's 1533-position model. The record is from RNAcentral.
GACGAACGCUGGCGGCGUGCUUAACACAUGCAAGUCGAACGGAAAGGCCCUUCGGGGUACUCGAGUGGCGAACGGGUGAGUAACACGUGGGUGAUCUGCCCUGCACUUUGGGAUAAGCCUGGGAAACUGGGUCUAAUACCGAAUAGGACCACGCGCUUCAUGGUGUGUGGUGGAAAGCUUUUGCGGUGUGGGAUGGGCCCGCGGCCUAUCAGCUUGUUGGUGGGGUAAUGGCCUACCAAGGCGACGACGGGUAGCCGGCCUGAGAGGGUGACCGGCCACACGGGGACUGAGAUACGGCCCAGGCCCCUACGGGAGGCAGCGGUGGGGAAUAUUGCACAAUGGGGGCAAGCCUGAUGCAGCCACGCCGGGGGGGGGAUGACGGCCUUGGGGUUGUAACCCUUUUUAAAAAGGGACGAAGCGCAAGUGACGGUACUUAUAGAAGAAGCACCGGCCAACUACGU